CUCUAUAUGAAGUUAUAUGUAGUAUAACCUGCCCACUGAUUUUUUAAAGGCCGCAGUAUCCUGACUGUGCAAAGGUAGCAUAAUAAUUAGUUUUUUAAUUGAAAGCUUGAAUGAAUGGUUGGACGAAGAAUAAGCUUUCUUUAAUAUUGAUUUAGAAUUUUACUUUUAAGUGAAAAGGCUUAAAUGUUUUUAAAAGACGAUAAGACCCUAUAAAACUUUAUAAACAAAAUAUUUUUUCUAUUUAUUAAGUUUAUAACUUUAAAAUAUUUAAUUUUAUUAUGUUGGGGCGACAAGAAUAAAUAAAUUACAAUAAACUGUUCUUUUUUUAAUACAAAAAUGUUUGAAAUAAUUAAGAUCCUUUAUAUAAGAUUAAAAGAUCAAGUUACUUUAGGGAUAACAGCGUAAUUUUUUUAGAGAGUUCUUAUCGAAAAAAAAGGUUACGACCUCGAUGUUGAAUUAAAAUUUCUUUAUCGGUGUAGAAGCUAUAAAAGUAAGUCUGUUCGACUUUUAAAAUUUU
RNAcentral lists this ribosomal RNA (517 nucleotides) under Phylladiorhynchus poeas. RNAcentral's name for it is "partial large subunit ribosomal RNA". It matches the Rfam family "Bacterial large subunit ribosomal RNA", at positions 1831 to 2597 of the family's 2925-position model. Lineage: Eukaryota; Metazoa; Arthropoda; Malacostraca; Decapoda; Galatheidae. The record is from RNAcentral.